GGAGAGGUGGCUGAGUGGUCGAAAGCACCGCACUCGAAAUGCGGCGUGCCUGCGAGGGCACGGGGGGUUCGAAUCCCACCGUCUCCGCCA
This 90-nucleotide transfer RNA is filed under the name compost metagenome. RNAcentral's name for it is "tRNA-Ser". It matches the Rfam family "tRNA". Rfam says of the family: Transfer RNA (tRNA) molecules are approximately 80 nucleotides in length. Their secondary structure includes four short double-helical elements and three loops (D, anti-codon, and T loops). Further hydrogen bonds mediate the characteristic L-shaped molecular structure. tRNAs have two regions of fundamental functional importance: the anti-codon, which is responsible for specific mRNA codon recognition, and the 3' end, to which the tRNAs corresponding amino acid is attached (by aminoacyl-tRNA synthetases). tRNAs cope with the degeneracy of the genetic code in two manners: having more than one tRNA (with a specific anti-codon) for a particular amino acid; and 'wobble' base-pairing, i.e. permitting non-standard base-pairing at the 3rd anti-codon position. The record is from RNAcentral.